Molecule: ribosomal RNA, 468 nt
Filed under: uncultured bacterium
Lineage: Bacteria
Description: partial 16S ribosomal RNA
Rfam family: Bacterial small subunit ribosomal RNA
Source: RNAcentral
GACGAACGCUGGCGGCGUGCUUAACACAUGCAAGUCGAACGGAAAGGCCCUGCUUUUGUGGGGUGCUCGAGUGGCGAACGGGUGAGUAACACGUGAGUAACCUGCCCUUGACUUUGGGAUAACUUCAGGAAACUGGGGCUAAUACCGGAUAGGAGCUCCUGCUGCAUGGUGGGGGUUGGAAAGUUUCGGCGGUUGGGGAUGGACUCGCGGCUUAUCAGCUUGUUGGUGGGGUAGUGGCUUACCAAGGCUUUGACGGGUAGCCGGCCUGAGAGGGUGACCGGCCACAUUGGGACUGAGAUACGGCCCAGACUCCUACGGGAGGGAGCAGUGGGGGAUAGUGCACAAUGGGCGGAAGCCUGAUGCAGCAACGCCGCGUGCGGGAUGACGGCCUUCGGGUUGUAAACCGCUUUCGCCUGGGACGAAGCGUGAGUGACGGUAAUGGGUAAAGAAGCACCGGCUAACUACGUG